This is a long non-coding RNA of Homo sapiens (human), 1468 nucleotides long. Ensembl annotates it as long intergenic non-protein coding RNA 658. The record is from Ensembl. Lineage: Eukaryota; Metazoa; Chordata; Mammalia; Primates; Hominidae.
AGGCAUUGUAUCUUCCACCUCUUAGAUCUCUCUCUCUGCGGAAGCCAGCCACCGCUCUCCAAGGACUCUCGAGCAGCUCCAUCUACAGAUUCACAUGGAGAAGAAUUAAGGGUUCCUGCCAAUCACCAGCACCACUUUGCCAGCCUUGUAAGUGGGCCACCUUGGAAUUGGAGCCUCCAGUUCCUACUGACAUCUGACUGCAACAUCAUGAGAGACCCUGAGUUUGAACCACCCAGCUGAGCUGCUUCUGAGCUAACCCACUGAAACCACAGUUGGCAUCUGUGUGAAGAUGUGAAUGGAGGAGGCAGAGUAGGCAGUGAGUGCCGCAGCCACAGCUUGUGUUCUCUGCAGCCCUGGCACAGAAGAUAGGAACACUCAUGGGGGAUGCGGCCACUGUGAUGUCUUCCCACACAAGAAGUGCCAAGUGCUUUUCUCAUGCUUUUCUGGAUUGUCCCAUGGUGGACGAGUCAGCAGGAGUGAGAUGGAGCAGCACAGUAGAGGGGAUAUCGUUGUACAUAUUCUCAGCUAAGUGAGCACCAAUAGAGGAGAGGGAGAGUCUCAUGGAAGUUCCUUCUAAGCCUUUGGCUCUUUUUACCUUCAACAAGGUGUGCCACCUCUUUGAUCCAGCAAGUGGGAAGAACAGUCCCGGCCUCUUUGCACACAAGACCGUGAUACCAAUGCACCAUCACAGGCCCCACAGGGGAGCUGUCCGCUUCCCCACACAGCUGCUAGGGGCUCUUUUGCAUGUUCCCAACCUUUCCUGCCUUUAUCUGAUAUUCGUUCCUUAGAUCCUGGGAUGAGGAGGUGGACCAGCAGAAGGUGGGCUUGUGAAGGCAGCCCGGGGUCCAAAUCCUCCUGGCUCUUCAGCUUAGCGGGUUAGUUAACAUUCAGAAGCCUUCAUCUCCCAUCUGCAAAAUGGGCAUGUCCAACUCAGAAGCUGCCUUGAAGAAAGGGUCUACCCAGCAUGGUGCGUGGAGCCUAAGCAGUCAGUACUUCAGGACUUCACCCGGCCCCUUUCCAAUAACUGCUGCUGUCGCCCUCACAGGAUGUCACCUUCAGCGUCUGAAAGCUGGGUUUGAUGCGUCUGGAAAGGCGUCCCUGACAGGCGUCGUUGCCAGGAGCCCCUAGUGCCACCAGCAGCCAGCAGGGGAGGGCGUCCUCUGCCCGCUCACUUCUGACCCUUCUCUCGUUGCACCCGGAACAUGGUGCAGCUGGGAGCAGCCUGGGCUGCGCGGAAGGCUCAGAUUUGGGGACGGCCCUUGCCAGUGACUGUGAGCUGGGGUGUCUUGGAAACUCCCAGUCUCAGCUUCUCCAUUUAUAAGAUGAGAAUGAUCAUACCAGACUCAGGCAAGGUUGUUUGUGCAUUAGUGAAAUCAGACGUAUUAAAUAAAGUACCACAUUGAUCGUGGAGUUGUUGAAUAACCAAGAACACGCCUAUCUGUCUCCAAAAAAUAAAUGUUGAAAAUGA